GGGUUGGUGCGUGUCCCCGAGUAGGGGCGGACUCGUGUAAUCUGUCUUGAAUCUGCAAAGACCUCUUUGUAAGCCUGAAUACUUCCUGGUGACCGAUAGUGGAUAGUACCGUGAGGGAAUGGUGAAAAGUACCCCGGGAGGGGAGUGAAAUAGUACCUGAAAUCGGGCGCUUACGAUCCGUCAGAGCCUUGUGGGGUGAUGGCGUGCCUUUUGAAGAAUGAGCCUGCGAGUUAUGUUGUGUGGCGAGGUUAACGCGUGUGUGGUAGCCGUAGGGAAAUCCGAGUCUGAAUAGGGCGUGGAGUCGCAUGAUAUAGACCCGAAGCGGGGUGAUCUACGCUUGGCCAGGUUGAAGCACGUGUAGAAGCGUGUGGAGGACCGAACCCACCUGGGUUGAAAACCGGGGGGAUGAGCUGAGUGUAGGGGUGAAAGGCUAAUCAAACUCCGUGAUAGCUGGUUCUCCCCGAAAUGCAUUUAGGUGCAGCGUUGUGUGUUUCUUGCUGGUGGUAGAGCUACUGGUUGACUGAUGGGCCGUGUUGGUUACUGAGGUCUGCCAAACUCCGAAUGCCGGUUAAGUUAAGCAUGGCAGUGAGACUGCGGGGGAUAAGCUCCGUGGUCGAGAGGGAAACAGCCCAGAUCGUCGACUAAGGCCCCUAAGCGUGCGCUGAGUGGGAAAGGAUGUGGAGUCGCGUAGACAACCAGGAGGUUGGCUCAGAAGCAGCCAUCCUUGAAAGAGUGCGUAAUAGCUCACUGGUCAAGUGGUUCCGCGCCGAUAAUGUAGCGGGGCUUAAGCGUACCGCCGAAGUCGCGGCAUCAACACAUUUUCGCGGCCUGCCUCGAGGUGGGUUAGUGGUGUUGUUGGGUAGGGGAGCGUCCUGCCAGAGUUGAAGUCCGGGAGUGAUCUCGGGUGGAUUUGGUGGGAGUGAGAAUGCAGGCAUGAGUAGCGAGUGGAAAGUGAGAAUCUUUCCCGCUGGAUGACUAAGGGUUCCAGGGCUAGGUUUGUCCGCCCUGGGUGAGUCGGGUCCUAAGGCGAGGCCGACAGGCGUAGUCGAUGGGUGACCGGUUGAUAUUCCGGUACCGGCGAAGAACCGUCCAUGACGAGGGGUCGUGUGCUAACCAAUGCCACUGGCUUGUUUCACCUUCGGGUGUUAUGGGUUUUGUGGUCUUGGGGUCCCGCGGUUUAGUAGUCAAGCGUGUUAACAGGGGUGACGCAGUGAGGUAGCCGACGCGUGUCUUAUGGCUUGGCGCGUCUAAGAGUGUGGCCCGUCUCCUAGGCAAAUCCGGGAGGCUUUGAGGGUGAGGCUUGAUGGUGAGACCGUUUUGGUUGAAGUUUGGUGUGCCUGUACUGCCGAGAAAAGCCUCGACGUUAGGUUUGAGCCGCCCGUACCCUAAACCGACACUGGUAGUCAGGUAGAGAAUACUAAAGCGGACGGGUUAAUCAUGGUUAAGGAACUCGGCAAAAUGCCCUCGUAACUUCGGGAGAAGGGGGACCAUUACCGGCGAAGCGUCUUGCGCGUGGUUGUUGGUGGUGGUCGCAGUGAAUAGGGGGAAGCGACUGUUUAUCAAAAACACAGGUGCAUGCUAAGCCGUGAGGCGCUGUAUAUGCACUGACGCCUGCCCGGUGCUGGAAGGUUAAGAGGAACUGUUAGUCUUUGGACGAAGCGGUGAAUUUAAGCCCCAGUAAACGGCGGUGGUAACUAUAACCAUCCUAAGGUAGCGAAAUUCCUUGUCGGGUAAGUUCCGACCUGCACGAAUGGCGUAACGACUUCCCUGCUGUCUCGACCGUGAGCCCGGUGAAAUUGCAUUACGAGUAAAGAUGCUCGUUUCGCGCAGCAGGACGAAGAGACCCCGGGACCUUUACUAUAGCUUGGUAUUGGUGCUCGCUUGCGAUUGUGUAGGAUAGGUGGGAGACUUUGAAGCUGGCACGCCAGUGUUGGUGGAGUCGUUGUUGAAAUACCACUCUGUUGUAAGUGGGUUCCUAACUUAGACCCCUGAUCGGGGUCAGGGACAGUGCCUGGUGGGUAGUUUAACUGGGGCGGUUGCCUCCUAAACUGUAACGGAGGCGCUCAAAGGUCCUCUCAGCCUGGUUGGCAAUCAGGUGUUGAGUGUAAGUGCACAAGAGGGCUUGACUGUGAGACUGACAGGUCGAGCAGGUACGAAAGUAGGAACUAGUGAUCCGGCCAUGGCUUGAGGAAGCGUGGUCGCUCAACGGAUAAAAGGUACCCCGGGGAUAACAGGCUGAUCUUGCCCAAGAGUCCAUAUCGACGGCAUGGUUUGGCACCUCGAUGUCGGCUCGUCGCAUCCUGGGGC
RNAcentral lists this ribosomal RNA (2307 nucleotides) under Mobiluncus porci. RNAcentral's name for it is "partial 23S ribosomal RNA". It matches the Rfam family "Bacterial large subunit ribosomal RNA", at positions 392 to 2553 of the family's 2925-position model. The record is from RNAcentral. Lineage: Bacteria; Bacillati; Actinomycetota; Actinomycetes; Actinomycetales; Actinomycetaceae.